CAAUGUCCUUCUUCAUUCCAGGCCACCAACAUUGACGCUUGAGGUCCUGGUACAUUUUGGUACUCCUGAGGUGGAUGAACAGUUUGGAGGAAUGGGUAGCCUUGAAAACAUCCAUCCUGAUAGUGACAGGGAUCCAAAUACGAUCUCAAAAUCUGCACAACCCAUCAUUAGUCAACCUGAAAUUAGGAAACUCGUUAGAAGUAAACUUACUCAAUUUUUUGGUGAUUUCUCAGUCCAUGGAUUGAGUUUUCCAAAUCUUCAUAAAAAGAUUGGACAAAGCUCAAAUCUGAGCGAGAUAUGCACCGUUGCCAUACUAGUUGAUUCGGAGUGCCUGGAUAGCAUCAACUAAUUUCUAACUAAAGGCCAUGGUUUGGGUCAACACAGCGGACUCCUUUUGGCUCAGCGCAUCUGUGACUGCAUUACCUCUACC
This 430-nucleotide long non-coding RNA is filed under the name Carica papaya (papaya). RNAcentral's name for it is "long non-coding RNA (CPAP_LNC003077)". Lineage: Eukaryota; Viridiplantae; Streptophyta; Magnoliopsida; Brassicales; Caricaceae. The record is from RNAcentral.